UUGCUGUGCACGAAUCAUUUCUGGAAAAAUCACUCCUUGAUAAGAGUUGCUGACUCUUCUUGCACGCACAUCGACGACGACGACCUGCGUAUUUAUUGAAUUGAAGAACCUAACUCCCCCCCAAAGUCAGAAGGAAGAUAGCGUGGCGUUCAACAAUCUUCAAUCCUAUCCCCAAAGAUCUUGAAACAGAUUUCAUGGCCGACGACGCUAGUUCAGUCAUCGACCCUCAGCUUAUCCUCUCUCACAACUUCCCCGAGACGACGUACACAUAUACUGAAAGAGAUGCAGCACUCUAUGCUCUUGGCGUUGGAGCAUGUGCAAGGGAUGCCUUGGAUGGAAAGGAGCUCAAAAAUGUUUACCACCAACAUGGACGGCAGUCCAUCCAGGUCCUGCCAACUUUUGCUGCUCUGUUGUCUUUUGGAUCUUUGUCAGAACUUACUAACCUACCUGGGUUGCAAUAUGACCCACGCCUUCUUUUGCAUGGACAACAAUACAUAGAAAUCUACAAGCCAUUUCCAUCUAGUGGCUGUAUCCAAAAUAAAGCAAGUAUCUCUGGCUUGCAUGACAAAGGUAAAGCAACUAUCUUGGAGGUAGAAGUCAAAAGUUACGAUAAACAGUCUGGUGAACCGCUCUGCAUGAACCGGAUGACUAUUUAUCUCAGGGGUAUUGGUGGCUUCUCCAAAUCAUCUCACCCAUACUCCUACAGUAAGAAUCCAGCCAGCCAGAAUGUAGCUGCUAAAAUUCCAAAAAGUCAACCAUUUGCAGUUUUUGAGGAAUGCACCCAACCAUCGCAGGCAUUACUAUAUAGGCUAUCCGGUGACUAUAACCCAUUGCACUCAGAUCCUAUGGUUGCAGAAAUUGCCGGGUUUUCUCGUCCGAUACUGCAUGGCUUAUGCACUCUCGGCUUUGCGGUAAGGGCUAUUAUCAGAUGCGUGUGCAAGGGAGACCCCAACAUGAUCAAAACCAUCUCUGGAAGAUUUCUUUUACAUUUCUACCCUGGUGAAACCCUGAUCACAGAGAUGUGGCUUGAAGGCUUGAGGGUUGUAUACCAAGUAAAGGUGAAGGAGCGAAACAAGGCAGUGCUUUCUGGGUUCGUAGAAAUCAGUCAUUUAACUUCAUCCCUGUAAAAUGCUACUACCUAGCAAAUGAAUAAGGUUAAACAGGAUAUGGUUUUCUCCUUUGCACGGUUGAGAGAAUUUGCUCAUUUUGAUUGUGGUUUAUAUGUUGUGUAUGCGAUAUCCCACAGUAUCAUUUUGAACAA
Molecule: RNA transcript, 1261 nt
Organism: Rhododendron vialii
Lineage: Eukaryota; Viridiplantae; Streptophyta; Magnoliopsida; Ericales; Ericaceae
Gene name: enoyl-CoA hydratase 2, peroxisomal
Exons: 13
Source: RefSeq, a predicted model, not a curated record